CAGCCGUAAACUAUGCGCGUUAGGUGUACUGGUGACCACGAGUCACCGGGGUGCCGAAGGGAAACCGUGAAACGUGCCGCCUGGGAAGUACGGUCGCAAGGCUGAAACUUAAAGGAAUUGGCGGGGGAGCACCACAACGGGUGGAGCCGGCGGUUUAAUUGGACUCAACGCCGGAAAUCUCACCGGAUAGGACAGACAUAUGAUAGUCGGGCUGAAGACUCUACUUGAUGAUCUGAGAGGUGGUGCAUGGCGUCAGUGACU
Molecule: ribosomal RNA, 261 nt
Filed under: uncultured archaeon
Lineage: Archaea
Description: partial 16S ribosomal RNA
Rfam family: Archaeal small subunit ribosomal RNA
Source: RNAcentral